AUCCACAGCCGUACCACCCUGAAGGCUCCAGGUCUCGGAAGCUAGGCAGGGUCAGGCCUGGUUAGUGCUUGGAUGAGAGAAUGUGGAUC
This 89-nucleotide ribosomal RNA is filed under the name Jaculus jaculus (lesser Egyptian jerboa). Lineage: Eukaryota; Metazoa; Chordata; Mammalia; Rodentia; Dipodidae. The record is from RNAcentral.